GAUCUACCUUCUUUGUUGGAAGAUUUCUGUGAUUUAGACUCAUUUUGGACAGUAUUCCCAUGUUUAGCUUCAUGGUUACGAUGCCCAUCAACGUUUGUCUUCUGAGAAACCGCUUUAGGAGCAGCUUUCGGAUCAGGAUUUCUACUGUCGGGAUGAACUUGAGAUGAUGUAGUAGUAUUAUUGUGAUUAUCGGAUGAAACAGGUUUGUUGUUAUCGAAGACAGAGGGGGUAGCAAAAGAGUGUGAUUUGGUUUGUGAUCCUACAUGUGAGUGAUUAUUUUUAACAUUAGAAAGGGUUAUUUGACUAUGGGGGGAAAGUUCUUUGAAAAAAGAAUUGGAUGUCUUCAAAGGGGAUUGGAUUGUAGAAAGAUUCUUCGAUUCUGAACUUGAUUUCGUAAGGGAUCCAGAUAUAUUUGCUUUAGGAUGUUGGUGAUCAGUGGAAUGACCUAUAUUAGGAGGAAUAGUUGGAACAGGAGGAAUUCCAGACUUAUUUCCAAUAGAAGCUGCUCUGGGAUGUGAAGUAGAAUGGAAGUUAGUAUGACGCCAACUACCGGAUCUCUUUGGAGCCAUUGAAGCAUGGUAUGCAUGGUUCCCCGAGGAAAAAACGCUAGAUUGUAAAGGAACGGAUGAUACAUCUUGUGUAAUAGAUAUAACCCCACUCAAAUGCCCCCCAUUAUUUUGCUGAUUCCAAUCACUAGGCUUUGAUGAACGAUUAUAAUAUGAUAAGGAAGUUCCAAAACUCUUAGAGUUCGAUAUUGAAGAUGUCCUAUGAUGUGAAGAAGUAUUCAACGACGAAGGAUUGUUCUGCUGAGAUGACUCGAAAUCGAUUGGGUUAUUACCAAUACUUAUGUUUGACAAACGGUGUAUGGAAUUCCUCGGACUGUUUUUCUGUCUAUAAUCGUGAUCAAAACUACUUCGGAGUAAACCAUUGCCAGUCGAGUGGUGUAUAGUAAUAGCAUGAUUAUCCAUAGAUGAACCAACUCCCUUUGGUUCAACAUUCAUAAAUAACUCAUCUUUAUGCUCUUGUUCCGGAAAAGAAAUGUUCGUAUUUGAGGCAUUCGUCGAAGGACUCGUAUCUGCUGCUGUACUGCUAGAACUCUGGCGGUUUGGACAAAUAUCGUUGGAAUAACUACCAACGGCAGAAAGUUCAGAUGGGUUUAAUAGUUCAGAUUUUAUUCCGAACAUGUUUGCGCUUUUCCGGUUUGAUGUAUGAAGUUUAAAUAAUGCAUCCGUAUUUUCGUCGCCCAGAGAAACCGCUUUUUGGGACUGCAAAUAGCCCAUUUGC
Molecule: non-coding RNA, 1284 nt
Organism: Schizosaccharomyces pombe (fission yeast)
Lineage: Eukaryota; Fungi; Ascomycota; Schizosaccharomycetes; Schizosaccharomycetales; Schizosaccharomycetaceae
Source: the annotation of a GenBank genome assembly